GACGAACGCUGACGGCGUGCUUAACACAUGCAAGUCGAACGGAAAGGCCCUGCUUUUGUUGGGUUCUCGAGUGGCGAACGUGUGUGUAACACGUGGGUAUCCUGCCCUUGACUUUGGGAUAACUUCAGAAAACUUGGUCUAAUACCGGAUAGGAGUUCCUGCUGCAUGGAUGGGGUUGGAAAGUUUCGGCGGUUGGGGAUGGACUCGCGGCUUAUCAGCUUGUUGGUGGGGUAGUGGCUUACCAAGGCGUUGAAGGGUAGCCGGCCUGAGAGGGUGACCGGGCAAAAUGGGAAUGAGGUAAGGGCCAGAAUCCUAAGGGGAGGAGCAGGGGGGAAUAUUGGAAAAUGGGAGGAAGAGUGAGACAGAAAAGUUGCGUGUGGGCUAUGAGCUUUUGCGUAGUAAAAAGCGUUUGCAUGUGAGGAAGAGUGAGUGACGGUAAUAGCUAAAGAAGCAACGGCUAAAUACGUG
This 468-nucleotide ribosomal RNA is filed under the name uncultured bacterium. Its description in RNAcentral is "partial 16S ribosomal RNA". It matches the Rfam family "Bacterial small subunit ribosomal RNA", at positions 28 to 507 of the family's 1533-position model. The record is from RNAcentral.